AUUGAACGCUGGCGGCAGGCCUAACACAUGCAAGUCGAACGGUAACAGGAAGAAGCUUGCUUCUUUGCUGACGAGUGGCGGACGGGUGAGUAAUGUCUGGGAAACUGCCUGAUGGAGGGGGAUAACUACUGGAAACGGUAGCUAAUACCGCAUAACGUCGCAAGACCAAAAAGGGGGACCUUCGGGCCUCUUGCCAUCGGAUGUGCCCAGAUGGGAUUAGCUAGUAGGUGGGGUAACGGCUCACCUAGGCGACGAUCCCUAGCUGGUGUGAGUGGAUGACCAGCCACACUGGAACUGAGACACGGUCCAGACUCCUACGGGAGGCAGCAGUGGGGAAUAUUGCACAAUGGGCGCAAGCCUGAUGCAGCCAUGCCGCGUGUAUGAAGAAGGCCUUCGGGUUGUAAAGUACUUUCAGCGGGGAGGAAGGGAGUAAAGUUAAUACCUUUGCUCAUUGACGUUACCCGCAGAAGAAGCACCGGCUAACUCCGUG
Molecule: ribosomal RNA, 490 nt
Filed under: uncultured bacterium
Lineage: Bacteria
Description: partial 16S ribosomal RNA
Rfam family: Bacterial small subunit ribosomal RNA
Source: RNAcentral